CACGAACAUCCUUCAAAUAAGACUAAGAACCUUAGUACUAAUUCAGAGAGUCAAAUUUACAACUAAUGGCAACUAAAUUUACAUUCAGCUUCUGCAGUGGGCAACAAAAAAAUCAUGAAAUGGAAAGAACAAAUACAUGAAAAGAAAAACAAUGCAAGAUCCAGACAAUACAAGAACAAAAGCCAGAAAACUGAAACCUCCGUAACAGAGCAUGGUGGCACCAAAUUAUGUGACAAUAGUAAUUGGAAAAAGAGGAAUUAUAUCAUUAUAGAUAACAGCCAUCAAGGGAAUGAUACAAUUGUGUUCCCUGAAAAAACAUUUUCGUUCUUUUGAAUAUGUUCAUGUAACAACGGAUGGUAUGGCUCAAUAAUAACUUCAAUUACGUUAUUCACUCGAGAUAAGCCAUAUAAAUAUAGACAACCAAGUUAUCUUCCCUUUCAGUUACUUGAACUUGUCCAUCCCUUUCCUGCUCCGAAAAUAAUCUCACUUGGAACAACAAAAAAUCUGGGAGGUUAAUUUACAUCUCUUAAACAGUUGAAAAACUUCAUGCAUUGUUUGCAUCAAUCAGACAUGUCUUCCCCUCCACUGAAUUGAUCAUCAUCCAUGUCUUGCAAGCGUGAAACUUUACGCCUGUCAUCAUGACCGUCUUCAACAGGAGACCUUCCUCGCUUUGAGGGAAUAGCAACCUUUGAACUCGAAUGAUCCUGAACAAAAGGAACAGAAGAAGUGCAAGCUUGUGUUGUUAUAAGAAAUCAAUACUUCAACACGAAACUGAGCUUGAAUUCAAGUGAAAAGCUCUGAAGUGAUCACUGAUGUAAACAAUCACCUGUGGCCCAUAACAUGUAAACCCAUCUCCUUUUUCAACAAAUUUAUUAGUCAAGAACAUAGAAAUAGAAUAUGCUUUAAUGCCGCCAAAGUUUCAUACACAAUGCACACACAUUGAUG
This 945-nucleotide long non-coding RNA is filed under the name Amborella trichopoda. RNAcentral describes it as "long non-coding RNA (ATRI_LNC003028)". The record is from RNAcentral. Lineage: Eukaryota; Viridiplantae; Streptophyta; Magnoliopsida; Amborellales; Amborellaceae.